CCUGGAGGCUCCCCUUGUGAGAGUUACCAAAUAAGUGAGAGCUUAGGGCCUUAUCAAGCAGCAGGGUUGCCAGCCUCUGAGAAGCAAGAGCAAGUGUUCCAGCUCCCUUUUCAAGUAAAGUUCAUGUCAAUGAAUAAACUGACAUAUUUUUUUUUCUCCCCAUCAGGGCCCACGAUUUCUCAUUGGUGUCUGUAGAUUUCAAAACAGAUUCCUUCAACUCUCUGAAUUCUCACGUCCCCACCCUUCUCUCUUCCAAUGCUUCCAAUAGCCAUGGCCAUGCCACACACAUCUCAAAAAUGACAUCAGAUCAUCCAAAUGAGAAGAUGAAAUAAAACAUCUGCCCUUUGUAUGGGGAUGUUCCGACGAUAAGCAUCAUGAGAGCCAGACUUGGUGUUGAGAAGCCACAGUGAGAUUUAACUUCCCACUGGUUUCUCAGAUCAAACCAAAUGAGUCUUUAAAAUCCAAUGUAAUUUAGCUAAUUUCUACAGAAUAUAAAUGAAUGAAGAGGUAAAUUAUUCCAGUAAUUUAUAUUCACCUCUUUAUACUCAAAGGCCAUUUAUAAUUUUGUCCACUGAGUUGAAAACUCUAUUCCAGAAAUCUAAAGAAUCACAACAUGACAUUACACUCUACGUAUUCUUGAGAGGGUAGGAUGGAGGGAGGAAUUAGGGACUUGAUGUACUAUUCUAUCUAUGCAUGGGGAGCCCAGAAUAUGGGAUGUGAGUGAUGGGCCAGGGCCUGAGCAGUUUAAAGCAGGUACCUGGGGUAAGAGUUGAGUCUUGACUCAAUUCAAGCCAAUAUGCCACCAUCCACCACAGUUUCUUGGCUCCCUAAGAAUGCCUUGUUGUGUUUUCACUGGCAGCUUUUGUAUUUACUUAAAAGGGGCUGGUUAAAAAAAUGAGUCUAAAAGAUUUCAGGGAGGAGGAGGAAAGAAAUCCAGCGGCCACAAAAUGUAAAACCACUGGCUGGCCUCCCCUCCCUCCUCCCUUCCACCUCCAGCUUCCUGCUCUUAUUCCUCUCCCCUCCCCAGGCUGGAGGAAGGGGAGCAGCCCUAGCCAACUUGUCAAAAUAAUGCUGCUAAUUACCCCUGAUCUCCUUUAAUGGGAAGCUGCUCCCAACUCCACAAAGGAGUAAAUGAGAGGUCUACAACACAAACCAGGAGCACUGGCAUUUUUUGAGCUUACAGUGAGCUGGGGGGUAGGGAGGGCAGCAGAGGGAAGAUAUCCUGAGAGGGUCUCAGAAAUAUCUAUGCUCAUUACUCCCGGUUUAAAUACUAGCCUGAAAAGGGAAUUAGACUUUACUCAAUGCCAGAAGCGACUGGUAUUCUCUUGCUAAGAAUGUCACCAAUUGCACAGAGAAUAUUCAAAGCUUUCAAUAAACUUGAAAGAAAACAUAACAUUGAUGCUCCUAUUGAUUCCUGCCCCCCAAAUAUCUUCUUAGCUACGUAGCCUUACUCUAAUGGAUAAAGAUGUAGUCUUGAAAGGACCAGACUAUGAACAUUUUCCCCAUCCCCCGCCUCAUCUCUGUUUUUCUCUAUGUCUGUAUCAAGCUUUGCGUUUGGCAGAAGGCUCACCAUUCAUUUCAGUGAUCUCUACCAUUGGUUCUUGCAUGAAAUAGAAGCUGAGCAACAUGAUCCCUUUGACCCACUUCUGGAGCAACAAAUUUAUUAGAGAUAUAGGCAUGAGAAAUGAAAGGGAAGUAAAACAAUUCCAGCUUA
Molecule: long non-coding RNA, 1714 nt
Filed under: Marmota monax (woodchuck)
Lineage: Eukaryota; Metazoa; Chordata; Mammalia; Rodentia; Sciuridae
Source: RNAcentral